CCCUUAGAUGUUCUGGGCUGCACGCGUGCUACAAUGAAGCGUCCAACAAGAUGCGAAGCCGCAAGGCUCAGCGGAUCUUUGAAGUCGUUUCGUGACCGGGACAGUUGAUUGCAAUUAUUCGACUCGAACGAGGAAUUCCUUGUAAUCGCGAUUCAUCAUAUCGCGCUGAAUACGUCCCUGCCCUUUGUACACACCGCCCGUCGCUCCUACCGAUUGAGCGAUCCGGUGAAUUAUUUGGAGUGUCCACGCAAGCCAAUCCGUUUACGUGGGUGCGAAAUUUUGUAAACCUUAUCGCUUAGAGGAAGGAAAAGUCGUAACA
This 319-nucleotide ribosomal RNA is filed under the name uncultured eukaryote. RNAcentral's name for it is "partial 18S ribosomal RNA". It matches the Rfam family "Eukaryotic small subunit ribosomal RNA", at positions 1470 to 1796 of the family's 1831-position model. The record is from RNAcentral.